RNAcentral lists this ribosomal RNA (496 nucleotides) under uncultured bacterium. RNAcentral describes it as "partial 16S ribosomal RNA". It matches the Rfam family "Bacterial small subunit ribosomal RNA", at positions 28 to 506 of the family's 1533-position model. The record is from RNAcentral.
GAUGAACGCUGGCGGCGUGCCUAAUACAUGCAAGUCGAGCGAACAGAUGAGGAGCUUGCUCCUCUGACGUUAGCGGCGGACGGGUGAGUAACACGUGGAUAACCUACCUAUAAGACUGGGAUAACUUCGGGAAACCGGAGCUAAUACCGGAUAAUAUAUUGAACCGCAUGGUUCAAUAGUGAAAGACGGUUUUGCUGUCACUUAUAGAUGGAUCCGCGCCGCAUUAGCUAGUUGGUAAGGUAACGGCUUACCAAGGCGACGAUGCGUAGCCGACCUGAGAGGGGGAUCGGCCACCCGGGAACGGAGACACGGUCCAGACCCCGACGGGGGGCAGAAGUAGGGAAUUUUCCGAAAGGGGCGAAAGCCUGACGGAGCAACGCCGGGGGGGGGAUGAAGGGUUUCGGAUCGUAAAACCUUGUUAUGAGGGAAGAAAAAAUGUGUAAGUAACGAUGCACGUCUUGACGGUACCUAAGCAGAAAGCCACGGCUAACUACGU